Molecule: long non-coding RNA, 15918 nt
Filed under: Medicago truncatula (barrel medic)
Lineage: Eukaryota; Viridiplantae; Streptophyta; Magnoliopsida; Fabales; Fabaceae
Description: long non-coding RNA (MTRU_LNC000786)
Source: RNAcentral
AGUCGGAGUGUGUUUCCCGUAUGUGUGCAUGUACCGGAAGUCCCGUUUAAGCUGCACUGGUGGUUGGUUUUGGUUCAAAAUGGAACAAUGAAAAAUACCUUUAAUAUUGGGUUGCUUAUAUAUUUUCACCAUAGAUGUGGAAAUCAUAAUAGGCUAUUAAUAAAAUUAUAAAUUAUACAUGUGGCCUUUAAAUAUCUUUUCUACGUACCCUUGUUAUUAAUUAAUUACUAAAAUCAAAAGAAAUUUCCUUCUCAAUUACAUGUCGUUGAGUUUUCCACCUAGAUAUGUGUUGUAUUUUUUUAUCUUAUUAAAAUAACAUAAAAUCUUAUUUACUCUCAAUCAAAAUCAAUCUAGAAUAUAAGGGUGUCUCUAUGUACUUCUCUAGGUGUGUGUUUAAUUGUUUUUUUUGUUGCAUAUAUGCAAAUAUCAAGUCAUAAAAACAUGUUUUACCUUAAUAAACACAACCAGGUGUUACUAAAAAAAUAUAAUCAUAAAAACCUAUAAUGAAAUAUAGAUAUACAAAUCAAGGAUAGAGGGAAAAGAAAUAUCUUCAAAUAAUAGAUGGAAAAUAGUGUUUUAUUUCUUUCUUCAUUACGAGAACUACGAUCUUUGGCUCUGGAACUGAAUCAUUUCCUUGUAUCUGAGAAAGACUUCCAGAUUCAAAGGAAGGAAGUUUAAUUGGACUGAAUCAGAAAUUUUAUUCUAUGAUUGAUCAGUAUAAACAUCAACACCUUCGAAUUGGAUCAGUUUCUCCUGAACAAAUAAGUGCUUGGGCAAAAAAAAUCCUACCUAAUGGAGAAAUUGUUGGAGAGGUAACAAAACCCUAUACUCUUCAUUACAAAACCAAUAAGCCUGAAAAAGAUGGAUUAUUUUGUGAACGAAUUUUUGGGCCUAUAAAAAGUGGGAUUUGUGCUUGUGGAAAUUAUCGAGUAAUCGGAGAUAAAAAAGACCAACCCAAAUUUUGUGAACAAUGCGGAGUAGAAUUUGUUGAUUCUCGGGUACGUAGGUAUCAAAUGGGGUAUAUAAAACUAGCAUGUCCAGUAACCCAUGUAUGGUAUUUGAAACGUCUUCCUAGUUAUAUUGCGAGCCUUUUAGAUAAACCUCUUAAAGAAUUAGAAGGUCUAGUAUACUGCGAUGUGUGAUUUGAUAAAAAUUCUUAUUGUACAGAUUUCAAAUGAGAAACUGUCAUUCCAUUCAAUUAAAUUGGAAUGUCCUCUAUCUGGCAUGUCUCUUGGGAUGAGUAACAUGAAGCUCAGAAUUCAUGGGUGUAUUGAAUACUCCCAAAUCAAUAAGGGAAUUGGUCUAUGGUCAAUUCAGUAACAAAUAAAUAUUUAUUUAUAACCGUACGUACCUUGUGAAAAAAAAAAAAUUAUUUUUUUGUGGAAUUAAUUAUUUCAUCUCUUUUUUUUUUAAGAACUUAAAUUAAGUUCAAAGAAUAAAAUAUAAUAUAUCAUGAUUGCCGAAGUCUAUCUAUCGCAUAUAGGCUUAAAGACAUCGUGGCAUAACCGUCGAGGUGACGUCUUGACCUAAAAGAUCAAAUGGUAUGAUACAUAGACAAAGAAAUCUCUUAUGAAUUCGAGGAUAUUCCUUUUUUUUAUUAAAAAGUAUAUUUUAAAGGAUUCUUCGUUCGAAGGGAGGUAGACUACUCAAGAAUUUUACAUUGAAUUUCUGUCGUAAUUUCGAAUUGCAUAAAGAAUUCAGAAACAAAGAAGAAUGUAUCAAUGAAAUGUUGCUUCGUCUGUAUUGAUAACUUGAGUAAAGAGUAAACCUUUUUUAUUUUAGAUUUAGAGGUUUUCAAAAAUUUGAAAACGGAAACCACUUUCUUUAUCUUUAUUGUGUGUAAAUACUUUAGCCGGAUGAGAGGAAACCCUCACGUCCGAUUUUCAAAGGGGGAGAUCCAUCUUAUUGGAUCCUAUCCAAAUUUUUCGUUUGCUAGGCCCGUAGUUAAAAAACCUACUUUCUUACGAUUACGAGGUUCAUUCGAAUACGAAAUCCAAUCUUGGAAAUACAGUAUCCCACUCUUUUUUGCUACUCAAGGUUUCGAUACAUUUCGAAAUAGAGAAAUUUCUAGUGGAGCAGGUGCUAUACGAGAACAAUUAGUUGAUUUGGAUUUAAGAAUUAUUAUGGAUUCUUCGUUGGUAGAAUGGAAAGAAUUAGGAGAAGAGGGAUCCGCCGACAAUGAAAAUGAAAAUGAAUGGGAAGAUCGAAAAGUAGGAAGAAGAAAGAAUUUUUUGGUUCGACGCAUGGAAUUAGUUAAGCACUUUAUCCGAACAAAUAUAGAACCAGAAUGGAUGGUUUUAUCUCUCUUACCAGUUCUUCCUCCCGAAUUGAGACCAAUUAUUCAAAUAGAUGGAGGGAAACUAAUGAGUUCGGAUAUUAAUGAACUCUAUAGAAGAGUUAUCUAUCGGAACAAUACUCUUAUUGACCUAUUAACAACAAGUAGAUCUACACCAGGGGAAUUAGUAAUGUGUCAAGAAAAAUUGGUACAAGAAGCCGUGGAUACACUCCUUGAUAAUGGAAUCCGCGGACAACCAAUGAGGGACGGUCAUAAUAAAGUUUACAAAUCGUUUUCAGAUAUAAUUGAGGGCAAAGAGGGAAGAUUUCGAGAGACUCUGCUUGGAAAACGAGUUGAUUAUUCGGGGCGUUCUGUUAUUGUCGUAGGUCCAUCACUUUCAUUACAUCGAUGUGGAUUGCCCCGCGAAAUAGCAAUAGAGCUAUUUCAGACAUUUCUAAUUCGUGGUUUAAUUCGAAAACAUUUUGCUUCGAACAUAGGAGUUGCUAAGAGUAAAAUACGGGAAAAAGAACCGAUUGUAUGGGAAAUACUUCAAGAAGUUAUGCGGGGGCAUCCAGUAUUGCUGAAUAGAGCGCCUACUUUGCAUAGAUUGGGCAUACAGGCAUUUCAACCUAUUUUAGUAGAAGGACGUGCUAUUUGUUUACAUCCAUUAGUGUGUAAGGGAUUCAAUGCAGACUUUGAUGGGGAUCAAAUGGCUGUUCAUGUGCCUUUAUCUUUGGAGGCUCAAGCAGAAGCUCGUUUACUUAUGUUUUCUCAUACAAACCUCUUGUCUCCGGCUAUUGGGGAUCCCAUUUCCGUACCAACUCAAGAUAUGCUUAUAGGACUUUACGUAUUAACUAGCGGAAAUCGUCGAGGUAUUUGUGCAAACAGGUAUAAUCCGUUUAAUUGCCGAAAUUCUAAAAAUGAAAAAAUUAGCAAUAAUAACUCUAAGUAUAUGAAAAAAAAAGAACCCUUUUUUUGCAAUUCCUAUGAUGCAAUUGGAGCUUAUCGACAGAAAAGAAUAAAUUUAGAUAGUCCUUUUUGGCUCCGGUGGCGAAUAGAUCAAUGCAUUAUGUCUUCAAGAGAAGUUCCUAUCGAAGUUCACUAUGAAUCUUUUGGUACCUAUUAUGAAAUUUAUGGGCAUUAUUUAGUAAUAAGAAGUAUAAAAAAAGAAAUUCGUUGUAUAUACAUUAGAACCACUGUUGGUCAUAUUUCUUUUUAUCGAGAAAUUGAAGAAGCUAUACAAGGUUUUUCUCGAGCCUAUUCAUAUGGUAUCUAAUCAUAUAGAUGGUUAGUGUUGAUAUCCAAGCUAGGUAAAUUUAUGUUAUGAUACUGGCGUAAAUUCAGGUCAACUAGCAUCUUUUCUAUUUUCUACGUGAAUAAACAUAAAGAAAAGGAAGUUUUCCAAUCAUUCACUCAAAUUCAUUGUCGAACCGAAUCCCACUGAGUGGAAUAUGGAGGUACUUAUGGCAGAACGGGCCAAUCUAGUCUUUCACUUUCUUCCAUGCUUAGUGCGCAUGAUAGAAAGAGUCGAGCUUUGGAGUUUAGAAGUACUUUUUCUUUAUCUUCCUUUGACCAUGAUGCUUCUGGUGUGAGUGUAUCCACCUUUGUUGUUGCAUCAGUUGUCAUAGGUAUAUGUUCUCCAUUUGUGAUUAUUUUCCACAUAUCCACGUCUUGGGAUCUGAGGAAUAGUUUCAUUUUUCCUUUCCAGAAAUAAUAGUUCUUUCCAUUGAAGAAUGGUGGUCUUGUGCAUGAUAGACCUUCUGGUAUGUACUUUUCUUUUGACAUUGCCUUCUUCCUGAAUCUUUUCCUCCAACACUUGUUAGGUGUUUUUGUAGAGCCCGGGCUCUGAUACCAAUUAAAGUAGCAAUAAACGUCACAAGAAAGGGGGGGUUUGAAUUGUGACCCUUUUAAAAAUUAUUCCUGAAACUUAAGUUUAGAUUUAUAUACUCAAGAAUAAUCUUGGUGUAUGUUAGCUUAACAAGAUUAGAGUAUAUAACAAUUAAUUGAAUUUAGAACAGAACAUUCUGAAGACUGAUUAUAAACAGAAUGAGAAAAAUGAUGUUAAGUUAAAAGAUUAUUUUAGCAAGGACCAGAAUGUUCUGGAGAUUAAUAAAAUAAUGUGUGUGUGUGUUGUGUAACUUUAAAUAAAGAGAGAGAUAGAGAUAGAGAGAGAGAGAGAGAAGAAUAACACAGGAGAGUUAUCCUGGUUCACCAAACCCGGCUACUUCCAGUCCCCACACCUCGUGUGAGAUUAUCCACUAUAGUUUUCUUGCUAACAGAAACUUCUGACUAGCACUACAAUAUCUUGAUCACACCAGAUCAGUCCGUAACCUCUGUAUUAUCAACCUCAGCAGGCUUAUACAAUUCUUUGCACACUAGCAAAAGAAAGGUUGGAAUUUUCUAUCUCAAAACUAUUAAGCCCAAUAGACUUUGAGAAAUACAACACUCUUUGUAUGAAGAGAUUUGUUUUGGAUCGAAUAAAUACUCAAAUCUUUGUUUGAGUUUUACAAGAGGCAAAUUCAAGAGAGAUGAUCCAAGAGAUAUAGUGAGAGAGCUUGGAAUUUGCUUUGUUUGUGAAGAGCUUUGUUUGUAGUGAUGAUUUUCACUUUGAGAGAUAUUAGCUUGCAAAACUCUUGCUUAUGACCUUCAAAGGCCCUUGUAUUUAUAGGUGAGGAGUGUCUUGGUACCAAGGGAGAAAAUAGAGCUGUUGGACACGUUUUUGAUAGCUGUCCAAAGUCUCAAUUGAUUUCUCUUUUCUUCUUUAAAAUAGCCAGAACGUUCUCAGAAUGUUCUUUCUGAUUUGCCUGACUUAGAAAGCACUGUUGCUUUGCUUGCGCAUGAGAUAACCAGCUGUGAUGAGCUGUAUAACUUGCAGCCCACUUCUGAUGAUGUCAUGUCCUUUUGCUCUAGUGAUGUCAUGCUUAAGUAAGCCAUGUGAUCUUAUCCAUUUAAUGGGCUUUACUUUUUCAAAUGGGCUUAAAGCUUUUCUUAUGGCCCAAUAGACAUAAUCAGCCAAGCUUUCUUGCUGUGCAGACUUGUUCGCUUUUGAUGUACUGUUCCAUUUUCAUCGUUUUCGCCAGAACGUUCUCAAUUCAUUCUCAUGAAACAAAUUCUCACAAAAACGAAUUAGUAGAUAACAAGAUUAAAUAAAUAUAAUAUGUUUGUAAUCUUUAAAACAUCAAAUAAGGAUUUUGUCUCAACAACUUUGUCCUCCGCACGAUUUAUUAGGAGCUUUGUCCUCCGCACGUUUAAAGUAUAUUAAUACUUAUGAUGACGAUUGGUACCACAUGCAUAUAAGGAGUCUAAGAGCAUUGUCGCAUUGUCGUGUCUAAGAUGCUAUGUUGUUGAUGAUGAUUGAAUAUGUGAUUACGUGAUAAUUGUUUAUCAAAUAUGCAAAGUUGUUUAAGAUUGAAUAUGAUGUUAAUGUUAAUUUAUGAUUCGAAUUACAUUGAUUAAUAUUAUUUUGUUAUGAAAUCUCACCCCUUCUGCUUGAAAAUGUUGCCCUUCGUAUGGGUAACUUGCAGGUGAUCGUGCUUAGUGUGCAGUUUGCCGUUGUGAGUGGCCUUGCCUCGCUGUGUCGUCUAGGUCGCUCUGAUACGUAACGGGAUGGGGUUUUAUGUUAUGCAUGCUUCAUUCUCUUACGUAACUAAUAUGUUAUUUUUAUAAUAUUAUCAAUUAUGAUUUGAAAUAUUUUGAUGGGGCCUGCGUGCCGAAACGUUUUAUGGAUUAUGAUAUAAUUUCCGCUGCAAUGUUUAAGUUAUUUGGUUAAAUUAUUAUUUAACUGUUUUGGAUUAUGUUAUAUGUGAUAUCCCGUUGUUUACGAUGCUUACUCUGAUAAAUGUUUUAAGAAAUUUUUAUAUUGGGAAAACGGAGUGUUACAGAAACUCCCCCUAUAAAUACCGCAUUCCUCAUUCACAAUUUCUCAUUCAUAACGAAGUGGUUCAAGAGGAAUGCAGUCACUAUGCAUCUAGGGAGGAUUCUCUCUCUUCACUCCAAAUUUUUCUAGAGUAUUUUUAUUUCUUUUAUAAUUUCUCUUUAGUUACCAUGGGUAACUAAAUCUUUUUAGGCUUGGGUUCUAAGAUUAACCUCUAUUCUGGUUGUUGGAUAAUUUAUGUAAAGUCUUUAUUUUAGUUAUUUAUCUUUAUGCUACUAGUUUUACUGUUGUUGCGUAAGAUUUGUCUACUAAAGCAUAAUCUACUUAGAAUAAUUGAACGUGAGUUAACUGUUAAUUAAUUCCAACAAAAUGAAUAGAGAUGAUUCAAAUUAUGUUCAAUAUUUAAGCUAACUGUGUCCUCUAUUUAAAUUAAUUGUUAUAUAUUAUAAACCUGAUAUAGCAUAGCCUAUAUAGGGCUCACAUGAAGCGAUCACAAUCGAUAAAACUAUAUUCUAUAGCUAACGGUUGAUCCUACAAUACGCUCAAUCAAUGCAAAAAUAUGUUGUCACCUAUUGGGUUCAUAUUUCUAUAAAUAACUUUGCCACGGCCAAACAGUAUUAUUUCUCUUUUGUGUUUUUUUCUUUUUAUAUCAUGAAAGGUCAAAAUAAUGGAUAUUUGUUAAAAUAAAAUAGCAUGAAUCCUUAUCAUUGAUGAGUUUUUUAUAUGACCUCCUUACUAAGCAUGAUAAAGAAACAAAUUGAACACAUUGAUGCAUUUAAGAGAUAUUUAAUAAUUAUUCUAAUUUUAAAAAGUAUCUAUAAUAUACAUAAAGAAAACUACCUCCUUUCAACACUUUUGGGUUGAAUUUUUCUUUCUAAAAAUGUCAUCAAUUUUCAAUACAAAUAAUACAUAUAAUAAAUAGACAAGAAUAAAUUUAAAUAUUAAAAAAACGUAACAAAUACGAUAUGAAUAUAUAUAUAUAUAUAUAUAUAUAUAUAUAUAUAUGUGUGUGUGUGUUUUUUUUUUCUUUAUCAUUUAAAAAGUGUAACAAACUAAAUGAGUAUAUUUAUAUUUAAUUUUUUCCAAUUACAUCUUUAAACAACUUUUUCUAUAAUAAAGAUUGUUGUUGGUGUUAUUGAAAUAAAUAAUCAUGUUUAAUUUGGUUUGUUAUACCUAGAAAGCAACAAAAAUUUAUAUUUUUAGUUUUAAUCAAAAUCAAAAUUUCAUAAAAAAAAAAAUAUAAUUCAUAAUUUUCAAAUUUUAACGCGGUAAAAAGAGUGAAAAUACGGGCACGUAAGUGCCCAUCUUUACGCUAAUUUUUAUAAUUGCAUAAGUGACUUUUUAGCUGAUGAAACGAUAUCAUAAUCUUUAUAAAUUGUAAAACCACAUUCUAUUUGUUAUAUGCAAAAGGCGAGAAAUAUGGCUAAACUUGUCAAGCUUGUUUAUGUUAUAAUUGUGUUUUAUACCCUAUUUCUUGUUGCAACGGAAAUUGUUUGUGAGCUAAUUUUUCAUACUCUUGAAAUUUCCUUUUAUUUCUUUUUAUCUCGUUUUAGUAACAUUAUUUUGUUCUUUUUCCUUCAAUACAGCGGGUAUUCCUUGUAACGAUGAUGUUGAUUGUCCACAGACUCUGUGUGAACAGUUAAUUGCCGACUUCAAGUAUAUGAUAGAUUUUAAGUCGGAGUGUGUUUCCCGUAUGUGUGCAUGUACCGGAAGUCCCGUUUAAGCUGCACUGGUGGUUGGUUUUGGUUCAAAAUGGAACAAUGAAAAAUACCUUUAAUAUUGGGUUGCUUAUAUAUUUUCACCAUAGAUGUGGAAAUCAUAAUAGGCUAUUAAUAAAAUUAUAAAUUAUACAUGUGGCCUUUAAAUAUCUUUUCUACGUACCCUUGUUAUUAAUUAAUUACUAAAAUCAAAAGAAAUUUCCUUCUCAAUUACAUGUCGUUGAGUUUUCCACCUAGAUAUGUGUUGUAUUUUUUUAUCUUAUUAAAAUAACAUAAAAUCUUAUUUACUCUCAAUCAAAAUCAAUCUAGAAUAUAAGGGUGUCUCUAUGUACUUCUCUAGGUGUGUGUUUAAUUGUUUUUUUUGUUGCAUAUAUGCAAAUAUCAAGUCAUAAAAACAUGUUUUACCUUAAUAAACACAACCAGGUGUUACUAAAAAAAUAUAAUCAUAAAAACCUAUAAUGAAAUAUAGAUAUACAAAUCAAGGAUAGAGGGAAAAGAAAUAUCUUCAAAUAAUAGAUGGAAAAUAGUGUUUUAUUUCUUUCUUCAUUACGAGAACUACGAUCUUUGGCUCUGGAACUGAAUCAUUUCCUUGUAUCUGAGAAAGACUUCCAGAUUCAAAGGAAGGAAGUUUAAUUGGACUGAAUCAGAAAUUUUAUUCUAUGAUUGAUCAGUAUAAACAUCAACACCUUCGAAUUGGAUCAGUUUCUCCUGAACAAAUAAGUGCUUGGGCAAAAAAAAUCCUACCUAAUGGAGAAAUUGUUGGAGAGGUAACAAAACCCUAUACUCUUCAUUACAAAACCAAUAAGCCUGAAAAAGAUGGAUUAUUUUGUGAACGAAUUUUUGGGCCUAUAAAAAGUGGGAUUUGUGCUUGUGGAAAUUAUCGAGUAAUCGGAGAUAAAAAAGACCAACCCAAAUUUUGUGAACAAUGCGGAGUAGAAUUUGUUGAUUCUCGGGUACGUAGGUAUCAAAUGGGGUAUAUAAAACUAGCAUGUCCAGUAACCCAUGUAUGGUAUUUGAAACGUCUUCCUAGUUAUAUUGCGAGCCUUUUAGAUAAACCUCUUAAAGAAUUAGAAGGUCUAGUAUACUGCGAUGUGUGAUUUGAUAAAAAUUCUUAUUGUACAGAUUUCAAAUGAGAAACUGUCAUUCCAUUCAAUUAAAUUGGAAUGUCCUCUAUCUGGCAUGUCUCUUGGGAUGAGUAACAUGAAGCUCAGAAUUCAUGGGUGUAUUGAAUACUCCCAAAUCAAUAAGGGAAUUGGUCUAUGGUCAAUUCAGUAACAAAUAAAUAUUUAUUUAUAACCGUACGUACCUUGUGAAAAAAAAAAAAUUAUUUUUUUGUGGAAUUAAUUAUUUCAUCUCUUUUUUUUUUAAGAACUUAAAUUAAGUUCAAAGAAUAAAAUAUAAUAUAUCAUGAUUGCCGAAGUCUAUCUAUCGCAUAUAGGCUUAAAGACAUCGUGGCAUAACCGUCGAGGUGACGUCUUGACCUAAAAGAUCAAAUGGUAUGAUACAUAGACAAAGAAAUCUCUUAUGAAUUCGAGGAUAUUCCUUUUUUUUAUUAAAAAGUAUAUUUUAAAGGAUUCUUCGUUCGAAGGGAGGUAGACUACUCAAGAAUUUUACAUUGAAUUUCUGUCGUAAUUUCGAAUUGCAUAAAGAAUUCAGAAACAAAGAAGAAUGUAUCAAUGAAAUGUUGCUUCGUCUGUAUUGAUAACUUGAGUAAAGAGUAAACCUUUUUUAUUUUAGAUUUAGAGGUUUUCAAAAAUUUGAAAACGGAAACCACUUUCUUUAUCUUUAUUGUGUGUAAAUACUUUAGCCGGAUGAGAGGAAACCCUCACGUCCGAUUUUCAAAGGGGGAGAUCCAUCUUAUUGGAUCCUAUCCAAAUUUUUCGUUUGCUAGGCCCGUAGUUAAAAAACCUACUUUCUUACGAUUACGAGGUUCAUUCGAAUACGAAAUCCAAUCUUGGAAAUACAGUAUCCCACUCUUUUUUGCUACUCAAGGUUUCGAUACAUUUCGAAAUAGAGAAAUUUCUAGUGGAGCAGGUGCUAUACGAGAACAAUUAGUUGAUUUGGAUUUAAGAAUUAUUAUGGAUUCUUCGUUGGUAGAAUGGAAAGAAUUAGGAGAAGAGGGAUCCGCCGACAAUGAAAAUGAAAAUGAAUGGGAAGAUCGAAAAGUAGGAAGAAGAAAGAAUUUUUUGGUUCGACGCAUGGAAUUAGUUAAGCACUUUAUCCGAACAAAUAUAGAACCAGAAUGGAUGGUUUUAUCUCUCUUACCAGUUCUUCCUCCCGAAUUGAGACCAAUUAUUCAAAUAGAUGGAGGGAAACUAAUGAGUUCGGAUAUUAAUGAACUCUAUAGAAGAGUUAUCUAUCGGAACAAUACUCUUAUUGACCUAUUAACAACAAGUAGAUCUACACCAGGGGAAUUAGUAAUGUGUCAAGAAAAAUUGGUACAAGAAGCCGUGGAUACACUCCUUGAUAAUGGAAUCCGCGGACAACCAAUGAGGGACGGUCAUAAUAAAGUUUACAAAUCGUUUUCAGAUAUAAUUGAGGGCAAAGAGGGAAGAUUUCGAGAGACUCUGCUUGGAAAACGAGUUGAUUAUUCGGGGCGUUCUGUUAUUGUCGUAGGUCCAUCACUUUCAUUACAUCGAUGUGGAUUGCCCCGCGAAAUAGCAAUAGAGCUAUUUCAGACAUUUCUAAUUCGUGGUUUAAUUCGAAAACAUUUUGCUUCGAACAUAGGAGUUGCUAAGAGUAAAAUACGGGAAAAAGAACCGAUUGUAUGGGAAAUACUUCAAGAAGUUAUGCGGGGGCAUCCAGUAUUGCUGAAUAGAGCGCCUACUUUGCAUAGAUUGGGCAUACAGGCAUUUCAACCUAUUUUAGUAGAAGGACGUGCUAUUUGUUUACAUCCAUUAGUGUGUAAGGGAUUCAAUGCAGACUUUGAUGGGGAUCAAAUGGCUGUUCAUGUGCCUUUAUCUUUGGAGGCUCAAGCAGAAGCUCGUUUACUUAUGUUUUCUCAUACAAACCUCUUGUCUCCGGCUAUUGGGGAUCCCAUUUCCGUACCAACUCAAGAUAUGCUUAUAGGACUUUACGUAUUAACUAGCGGAAAUCGUCGAGGUAUUUGUGCAAACAGGUAUAAUCCGUUUAAUUGCCGAAAUUCUAAAAAUGAAAAAAUUAGCAAUAAUAACUCUAAGUAUAUGAAAAAAAAAGAACCCUUUUUUUGCAAUUCCUAUGAUGCAAUUGGAGCUUAUCGACAGAAAAGAAUAAAUUUAGAUAGUCCUUUUUGGCUCCGGUGGCGAAUAGAUCAAUGCAUUAUGUCUUCAAGAGAAGUUCCUAUCGAAGUUCACUAUGAAUCUUUUGGUACCUAUUAUGAAAUUUAUGGGCAUUAUUUAGUAAUAAGAAGUAUAAAAAAAGAAAUUCGUUGUAUAUACAUUAGAACCACUGUUGGUCAUAUUUCUUUUUAUCGAGAAAUUGAAGAAGCUAUACAAGGUUUUUCUCGAGCCUAUUCAUAUGGUAUCUAAUCAUAUAGAUGGUUAGUGUUGAUAUCCAAGCUAGGUAAAUUUAUGUUAUGAUACUGGCGUAAAUUCAGGUCAACUAGCAUCUUUUCUAUUUUCUACGUGAAUAAACAUAAAGAAAAGGAAGUUUUCCAAUCAUUCACUCAAAUUCAUUGUCGAACCGAAUCCCACUGAGUGGAAUAUGGAGGUACUUAUGGCAGAACGGGCCAAUCUAGUCUUUCACUUUCUUCCAUGCUUAGUGCGCAUGAUAGAAAGAGUCGAGCUUUGGAGUUUAGAAGUACUUUUUCUUUAUCUUCCUUUGACCAUGAUGCUUCUGGUGUGAGUGUAUCCACCUUUGUUGUUGCAUCAGUUGUCAUAGGUAUAUGUUCUCCAUUUGUGAUUAUUUUCCACAUAUCCACGUCUUGGGAUCUGAGGAAUAGUUUCAUUUUUCCUUUCCAGAAAUAAUAGUUCUUUCCAUUGAAGAAUGGUGGUCUUGUGCAUGAUAGACCUUCUGGUAUGUACUUUUCUUUUGACAUUGCCUUCUUCCUGAAUCUUUUCCUCCAACACUUGUUAGGUGUUUUUGUAGAGCCCGGGCUCUGAUACCAAUUAAAGUAGCAAUAAACGUCACAAGAAAGGGGGGGUUUGAAUUGUGACCCUUUUAAAAAUUAUUCCUGAAACUUAAGUUUAGAUUUAUAUACUCAAGAAUAAUCUUGGUGUAUGUUAGCUUAACAAGAUUAGAGUAUAUAACAAUUAAUUGAAUUUAGAACAGAACAUUCUGAAGACUGAUUAUAAACAGAAUGAGAAAAAUGAUGUUAAGUUAAAAGAUUAUUUUAGCAAGGACCAGAAUGUUCUGGAGAUUAAUAAAAUAAUGUGUGUGUGUGUUGUGUAACUUUAAAUAAAGAGAGAGAUAGAGAUAGAGAGAGAGAGAGAGAAGAAUAACACAGGAGAGUUAUCCUGGUUCACCAAACCCGGCUACUUCCAGUCCCCACACCUCGUGUGAGAUUAUCCACUAUAGUUUUCUUGCUAACAGAAACUUCUGACUAGCACUACAAUAUCUUGAUCACACCAGAUCAGUCCGUAACCUCUGUAUUAUCAACCUCAGCAGGCUUAUACAAUUCUUUGCACACUAGCAAAAGAAAGGUUGGAAUUUUCUAUCUCAAAACUAUUAAGCCCAAUAGACUUUGAGAAAUACAACACUCUUUGUAUGAAGAGAUUUGUUUUGGAUCGAAUAAAUACUCAAAUCUUUGUUUGAGUUUUACAAGAGGCAAAUUCAAGAGAGAUGAUCCAAGAGAUAUAGUGAGAGAGCUUGGAAUUUGCUUUGUUUGUGAAGAGCUUUGUUUGUAGUGAUGAUUUUCACUUUGAGAGAUAUUAGCUUGCAAAACUCUUGCUUAUGACCUUCAAAGGCCCUUGUAUUUAUAGGUGAGGAGUGUCUUGGUACCAAGGGAGAAAAUAGAGCUGUUGGACACGUUUUUGAUAGCUGUCCAAAGUCUCAAUUGAUUUCUCUUUUCUUCUUUAAAAUAGCCAGAACGUUCUCAGAAUGUUCUUUCUGAUUUGCCUGACUUAGAAAGCACUGUUGCUUUGCUUGCGCAUGAGAUAACCAGCUGUGAUGAGCUGUAUAACUUGCAGCCCACUUCUGAUGAUGUCAUGUCCUUUUGCUCUAGUGAUGUCAUGCUUAAGUAAGCCAUGUGAUCUUAUCCAUUUAAUGGGCUUUACUUUUUCAAAUGGGCUUAAAGCUUUUCUUAUGGCCCAAUAGACAUAAUCAGCCAAGCUUUCUUGCUGUGCAGACUUGUUCGCUUUUGAUGUACUGUUCCAUUUUCAUCGUUUUCGCCAGAACGUUCUCAAUUCAUUCUCAUGAAACAAAUUCUCACAAAAACGAAUUAGUAGAUAACAAGAUUAAAUAAAUAUAAUAUGUUUGUAAUCUUUAAAACAUCAAAUAAGGAUUUUGUCUCAACAACUUUGUCCUCCGCACGAUUUAUUAGGAGCUUUGUCCUCCGCACGUUUAAAGUAUAUUAAUACUUAUGAUGACGAUUGGUACCACAUGCAUAUAAGGAGUCUAAGAGCAUUGUCGCAUUGUCGUGUCUAAGAUGCUAUGUUGUUGAUGAUGAUUGAAUAUGUGAUUACGUGAUAAUUGUUUAUCAAAUAUGCAAAGUUGUUUAAGAUUGAAUAUGAUGUUAAUGUUAAUUUAUGAUUCGAAUUACAUUGAUUAAUAUUAUUUUGUUAUGAAAUCUCACCCCUUCUGCUUGAAAAUGUUGCCCUUCGUAUGGGUAACUUGCAGGUGAUCGUGCUUAGUGUGCAGUUUGCCGUUGUGAGUGGCCUUGCCUCGCUGUGUCGUCUAGGUCGCUCUGAUACGUAACGGGAUGGGGUUUUAUGUUAUGCAUGCUUCAUUCUCUUACGUAACUAAUAUGUUAUUUUUAUAAUAUUAUCAAUUAUGAUUUGAAAUAUUUUGAUGGGGCCUGCGUGCCGAAACGUUUUAUGGAUUAUGAUAUAAUUUCCGCUGCAAUGUUUAAGUUAUUUGGUUAAAUUAUUAUUUAACUGUUUUGGAUUAUGUUAUAUGUGAUAUCCCGUUGUUUACGAUGCUUACUCUGAUAAAUGUUUUAAGAAAUUUUUAUAUUGGGAAAACGGAGUGUUACAGAAACUCCCCCUAUAAAUACCGCAUUCCUCAUUCACAAUUUCUCAUUCAUAACGAAGUGGUUCAAGAGGAAUGCAGUCACUAUGCAUCUAGGGAGGAUUCUCUCUCUUCACUCCAAAUUUUUCUAGAGUAUUUUUAUUUCUUUUAUAAUUUCUCUUUAGUUACCAUGGGUAACUAAAUCUUUUUAGGCUUGGGUUCUAAGAUUAACCUCUAUUCUGGUUGUUGGAUAAUUUAUGUAAAGUCUUUAUUUUAGUUAUUUAUCUUUAUGCUACUAGUUUUACUGUUGUUGCGUAAGAUUUGUCUACUAAAGCAUAAUCUACUUAGAAUAAUUGAACGUGAGUUAACUGUUAAUUAAUUCCAACAAAAUGAAUAGAGAUGAUUCAAAUUAUGUUCAAUAUUUAAGCUAACUGUGUCCUCUAUUUAAAUUAAUUGUUAUAUAUUAUAAACCUGAUAUAGCAUAGCCUAUAUAGGGCUCACAUGAAGCGAUCACAAUCGAUAAAACUAUAUUCUAUAGCUAACGGUUGAUCCUACAAUACGCUCAAUCAAUGCAAAAAUAUGUUGUCACCUAUUGGGUUCAUAUUUCUAUAAAUAACUUUGCCACGGCCAAACAGUAUUAUUUCUCUUUUGUGUUUUUUUCUUUUUAUAUCAUGAAAGGUCAAAAUAAUGGAUAUUUGUUAAAAUAAAAUAGCAUGAAUCCUUAUCAUUGAUGAGUUUUUUAUAUGACCUCCUUACUAAGCAUGAUAAAGAAACAAAUUGAACACAUUGAUGCAUUUAAGAGAUAUUUAAUAAUUAUUCUAAUUUUAAAAAGUAUCUAUAAUAUACAUAAAGAAAACUACCUCCUUUCAACACUUUUGGGUUGAAUUUUUCUUUCUAAAAAUGUCAUCAAUUUUCAAUACAAAUAAUACAUAUAAUAAAUAGACAAGAAUAAAUUUAAAUAUUAAAAAAACGUAACAAAUACGAUAUGAAUAUAUAUAUAUAUAUAUAUAUAUAUAUAUAUGUGUGUGUGUGUUUUUUUUUUCUUUAUCAUUUAAAAAGUGUAACAAACUAAAUGAGUAUAUUUAUAUUUAAUUUUUUCCAAUUACAUCUUUAAACAACUUUUUCUAUAAUAAAGAUUGUUGUUGGUGUUAUUGAAAUAAAUAAUCAUGUUUAAUUUGGUUUGUUAUACCUAGAAAGCAACAAAAAUUUAUAUUUUUAGUUUUAAUCAAAAUCAAAAUUUCAUAAAAAAAAAAAUAUAAUUCAUAAUUUUCAAAUUUUAACGCGGUAAAAAGAGUGAAAAUACGGGCACGUAAGUGCCCAUCUUUACGCUAAUUUUUAUAAUUGCAUAAGUGACUUUUUAGCUGAUGAAACGAUAUCAUAAUCUUUAUAAAUUGUAAAACCACAUUCUAUUUGUUAUAUGCAAAAGGCGAGAAAUAUGGCUAAACUUGUCAAGCUUGUUUAUGUUAUAAUUGUGUUUUAUACCCUAUUUCUUGUUGCAACGGAAAUUGUUUGUGAGCUAAUUUUUCAUACUCUUGAAAUUUCCUUUUAUUUCUUUUUAUCUCGUUUUAGUAACAUUAUUUUGUUCUUUUUCCUUCAAUACAGCGGGUAUUCCUUGUAACGAUGAUGUUGAUUGUCCACAGACUCUGUGUGAACAGUUAAUUGCCGACUUCAAGUAUAUGAUAGAUUUUAAGUCGGAGUGUGUUUCCCGUAUGUGUGCAUGUACCGGAAGUCCCGUUUAAGCUGCACUGGUGGUUGGUUUUGGUUCAAAAUGGAACAAUGAAAAAUACCUUUAAUAUUGGGUUGCUUAUAUAUUUUCACCAUAGAUGUGGAAAUCAUAAUAGGCUAUUAAUAAAAUUAUAAAUUAUACAUGUGGCCUUUAAAUAUCUUUUCUACGUACCCUUGUUAUUAAUUAAUUACUAAAAUCAAAAGAAAUUUCCUUCUCAAUUACAUGUCGUUGAGUUUUCCAC